UACGAAAGGGGCUAGCGUUGUUCGGAAUUACUGGGCGUAAAGCGCACGUAGGCGGCCUUGUAAGAUGGGGGUGAAAUCCCCGGGCUCAACCCGGGAACUGCUUUCAUGACUGCAAAGCUUGAUGAUGCGAGAGGUUAGCGGAUUUGCGAGUGUAGAGGUGAAAUUCGUAGAUAUUCGGAAGAACACCAGUGGCGAAGGCGGCUAACUGGCGCAUUUCUGACGCUGAGGUGCGAAAGCGUGGGGAGCAAACAGG
RNAcentral lists this ribosomal RNA (253 nucleotides) under uncultured bacterium. Its description in RNAcentral is "partial 16S ribosomal RNA". It matches the Rfam family "Bacterial small subunit ribosomal RNA", at positions 524 to 776 of the family's 1533-position model. The record is from RNAcentral.